Pelobates cultripes (western spadefoot toad) is the source of this 84-nucleotide non-coding RNA. Lineage: Eukaryota; Metazoa; Chordata; Amphibia; Anura; Pelobatidae. The record is from the annotation of a GenBank genome assembly.
GUGUGUGUAUAUAAUGCAGUGUGUUUGUGUAGUGUGCAUUAUAUAAACACACUACACAAACACACUGCAUUAUAUACACACUAU